RNAcentral lists this unclassified non-coding RNA (71 nucleotides) under soil metagenome. Its description in RNAcentral is "partial internal transcribed spacer 1". The record is from RNAcentral.
ACUAAACACAUUGUGUUAUUAUUAACUUGUGCAUUGUUUUGUUUUAACUAUUUGUUAAUUUAAAUAUUUAA